RNAcentral lists this long non-coding RNA (592 nucleotides) under Vombatus ursinus (common wombat). RNAcentral's name for it is "lncRNA (ENSVURG00010011891.1)". The record is from RNAcentral. Lineage: Eukaryota; Metazoa; Chordata; Mammalia; Diprotodontia; Vombatidae.
GCUAGGGGGAGCCAGUCCUGAAGCGAAGCUCCCCGAGUCAUCUGAAGUCACAUCAGAACGAGAUGGCAGAGGGGAAGAGCACAUGCAGUGGGCCCCCGAAGUGAAUGAACGAGGGAGAUGAAAGUCGGAGGCGCCACGAAGGGCCGAGAACGGAAAAAGUGGGGUAUCAUCAGAAAAACACUGAUGCCAGGGUUGCAAUCGCCAUGCUAAUCAGUCAGAAGGAGACCAGUGGCACAGACAUGAGUAGAUGGGAGUGACCGUCCAGGCUCUGUAAAGAUCAAUCAACUGAUCACUUCACUGAUCUAGCAGCAGUCAGGGAAGGAGCCUUUCUUACCCAGCCAACUCCCCCCAGGCAUAAGCGUGCGGGCAUGAAGAAAGGAUUACAUCCUGGCAAAGGUCCCAGCCCAGCAGCAAUGCCCAGGACAGGACCUUUUCCAUCUGCUAACAAGGUGCCACUUGAUUCAGACAGCAUGGCUAGAAAGGCGACAGGCCCAAGACCCUGGAUCGUUGUGUUGACAGCAGAGAGAAGAAUGCUGACCCACUGGGGGUGCUGAAUCCCCUCACCCAGAGAAGAGAGAACCUCCAAGUAGAC